GGAGAAUCCAUUGCCUCGAAAGGAUGAUGAUGAGUCUGAUAAAAGUAAAAAACAAGGAGCGGGAAAUGUCAUUUCCAUUGUGCCUCGAUCUGGAACUAUGAUGGGAACACCAGGUCCAAGCUUCUGGUCCUGGAUACCUCCUUCAGACAGUUCUUUUGAUGACAUUCAGAUGAAGUCAGAUGUCUCUCUGUCUCCAAACCCACCAAGCCCUGUUAUAGAGAAAGAACGAUCUCCAGAUUUUCUAUCUAUCCCAUUUCAGAGUGCUACGAUUGAUAAAAAACAUAGUCCUCCUCUUCCACCGCUUCAGUCACAUUUGGAAGUUGAAAAUUUGGAAGAUUCCAGCUCAACGCCUGAGAUACCUCAGCAGGUGGAGGAACGUGAACUUGGCAUUCUGUUCUCUGCAAAUGCAGCAGAAGCAGCUCAUGCCCUUAAGCAGAAAGACGAGGCAUCAUCCGAGGGAAUCAAUCCUGAUGGAUCAAGAUGGUGGAAGGAGACUGGGACUGAACGACGAGCUGAUGGGGUGGUCUGCAAGUGGACGCUAACCAGGGGCGUUAGUGCUGACAAAACUGUUGAAUGGGAAGACAAGUAUUGGGAAGCUGCUGAUGAAUUUGGUCAUAAGGAACUAGGUUCUGAGAAAUCAGGACGAGAUGCUGCUGGAAAUGUAUGGCAUGAGUUCUGGAAAGAAUCAAUGUGGCAGAAUGGUGGGCUUGUCCACAUGGAGAAAACUGCAGAUAAGUGGGGAAAGAAUGAUAAAG
This 755-nucleotide unclassified non-coding RNA is filed under the name Hevea brasiliensis (rubber tree). Lineage: Eukaryota; Viridiplantae; Streptophyta; Magnoliopsida; Malpighiales; Euphorbiaceae. The record is from RNAcentral.